Molecule: non-coding RNA, 2684 nt
Organism: Chrysemys picta bellii (western painted turtle)
Lineage: Eukaryota; Metazoa; Chordata; Testudines; Emydidae
Source: RefSeq, a predicted model, not a curated record
AAGCAAUGAUUCUCAUGAACCAGCUUCAUUGGGCUGAACAUUGUGUGCGGAUGCCAUACUCUCGCCUCCCAAAACAAGCCAUCUACUCUCAGAUCACCCAUGGUCAGAGAUCCCGUGGUGGUCAGAGGAAACGCUACAAAUAGACACUGAAAAUGUAUCUCAAGAAAACUGAUGUGGACAUCACAAGCUGGGAGGAGCAAGCCACCAACUGACCUCAGUGGUCAGCCUCCAUCAGGUAGUGGCCCGCUUCGAGGAGAAGCGCCUUUCCCUCAAAGCUGAAGGAAGGAAAAAGAACUUUCUCACAAUGGGGAGCUGACCCGCUAGGAAAUGUCUGUACCUACUGCGGGCAGAUCUGUGGUUCCAGGAUUGGACUCCUGAGAUAUCUCAGGACCCAUAAGUAAAUCUGUGGUAGAGAUCAUCCGCGAACCAAGGAACUGCCGAUGAUGAUGAUUUCAGCUGAAAAAUGUUGCCCAACUCUAGUGAUAAAAAACGUCACAAGAGAGCAUGCCCAAAACAGGAAACAAACAAACAAAAACUGCCUGUGUUUGACUUUGCAAACAUAACAAAAUGGAUGAAGGUAGCAGGGGUGGGGAGAGAACCACUGUACUAAAAUUUUUAACAGCUAUUACACAUUAUUAAUUCCUCUUUUUUGUCUUUUAGAAGAAAUUCUUGCUGAACUUGCAACCUUGCGAUCUGAAAUGAAGAAAGACAAAGAUUCAGCUCUGUAAAUCUCUCCCCAUCAGACAUUUUCUCCAGCCCCUUGGAUCGUAUUUGUGGCUCUUUCCUGCACCUUUCCAAUUUCCAAUGGCCUGUGUCAAACACCGACGCUGCAGCAGUCCCGGGAGGAGGAGCCAUGGGCCGAUCACCUGUGCCCCCUGCCGCAGCAUCCGGGCUCCUGGCCCAUCUCAGGCCCCGGGCAGCGCACCAGGAAGGAGGAGGAAGCCCCGCCUGCUAAUGCAGCAGCCCCAGGCCCAGGCCCAGCCCCAGCCCGGCGGGUUCCAGUCCUGCGGGGACUGAACACCAUGGCCAGGAAGGUGACCGGCAUCAUGGGCAUCCUGCUGCUGUGCCUGCCGGUGGGGCCUGCGGGAGCCGCCAGGCUUCAAGGUGAGCGGGGGCCACCCAACGUGUGGAGAACACAGGGGCAGCCAGAGCCCCAGGGCCAGGCAGAGCCGGGAGCCAGGGGCAGCCAGAGCCCCAAGGCCACGCCAGGCGCCUGCAGCUCCAGAGAUGCCCAGUGCAGAGGAGCUGUCCCGUCCCCCUGGCAGCAGCCAAGUGAACUCAAAGACUCAGUUCCCUGGCAGACAGCGAGCCCCCGCGUAACGCUGAGCUCAGGGCUCGUGGGGCGGUCCCUGCAAGCUCCCUUCCUUGCAAAUUUUUUUUAUUUUCUCAUUAAAAAAAUACAUGGCUAGAAAACCGUAGCGGGUUUAGAUACAGUUCCCCGCUCUAGGAGCAGCUCUAAGGGCUUGAUUUUUCCAGAGUUGAGUGCCCACUGUCGUAUUGAAGUCAGUGGGAACUGUGGACUUUGCCAGCACUUGGGCAGAGCCAGCCCUGUCUGAAAGAAAAAUGGGCUGGUUUUCUUCUUGCAGAAAAUUUUGAUAUUUUUUCCUGCAAAAAUUCAAAACCUGAUAAUUUUCAGCUGAAACCCCUCCCAAAAUUUGAUCCACGCCCAAAAUCAUCUGUUUUUGGGCCAAAAUCUUUUGAGUUUGCAGUAUUUGAGUUUUUCCACAGAAAGCAGAUCCUUUUUGUGAAAAAUGUUUAUUAGUUGAAAACCUGUUUCCAUCAAAAAACAGUUUUUUUGGAUAACUUUUGACCCUCCCCCCGACUGAUUUCACUGAUAUGUUGCCUUUUUUUAAGAUUUGUUAGUUCCAUACAGCUGUUAAGAGAGGCAAGGGAGCACAUUGCCAGCCAUGUAUUUUAGAACUAGUAAUUUCCUAGUAAUUAUUACCCCCUUGACAACAUUGUGCUUUUGUUUACCAAUCCAACCUCCCAUCAAACAUGUGCAAACACAUAAUGGGCCAGAUUCUCAGCGGGUGUAAAUCAUGCUAAUGCCAUGGAAAUGAAGAGAUGUUGAUUUACGCCUGGAUCAUAUUCACUGUACUUUAUGUAGUUUUGAAUGGCUUAUGUCUCCUGCAGUUGAUUCCUCACUGGGCCUUUGUUCUUUAACAAACUGCAUUAAUAAUGAUCAAUAUUUUAUUUUGUAGCUAGGGCUUUGGGGAACUUUUCCCGAGGUUUCCCCACUGUUAGUGGCUUUCGAAUUUCUGAGUACUGCUGUGGUUUUGGUGUUGCUGGGGGAAUAUGAAUUUGCUUUUCAGACCUGCACCUACUUUCCUUGUGCACCUCCCAAAGCCAAAGGGAAUUAGAGUGCCCAGGGAAUGCAGGAUCUGGUCUAGAGAUAGCUCCAGCCCAGCCUCACAGGAACAAUGGAAACUGGCUUAGGCAGGCAGCAACAAAAUAAUCUGUUAUUAGACCCUCAAGGGAGUCACCCUGUUCCUUUAGGCAGGUUGGGACUGCGAUGAGGUAAUGCUCACCUGACUCUGAAGGGGACGGGGAGCAAAGUCAGAAGGAAAGAAAGGCCAUGCUCUCUCUCUUCCACCUACAUCUACAGACACCACUACCAUCAAGCAACUGAAAUGUUGAUCAAAGGGGAGAGCCUGACUGAAAAGUAAUCAGCCAGCCUGUGGUGA